RNAcentral lists this transfer RNA (64 nucleotides) under Falcicornis taibaishanensis. RNAcentral's name for it is "tRNA-Ala". It matches the Rfam family "tRNA". From Rfam's summary of the family: Transfer RNA (tRNA) molecules are approximately 80 nucleotides in length. Their secondary structure includes four short double-helical elements and three loops (D, anti-codon, and T loops). The record is from RNAcentral. Lineage: Eukaryota; Metazoa; Arthropoda; Insecta; Coleoptera; Lucanidae.
AGGAUAAUAGUUAAAAAUAACAUUUAAUUUGCACUUAAAAAGUAUUGGUCACCAAUUUAUCUUA